UCAAAAGCUCGUAUGAGAAGUCAGAUACUGGCAAAGUCCCCAAAAAAAUCAGAAGAAAAUGAACGCAGAAGACGCUCAACAGUGUAACGAGAUGGGAGACCAGAGGGAAAACCUUUCCUCCUCCGAACAGUCACUCGAUAUCGAGACCAUCAGAAGUCGAAUGAAAAAGCUCUCAGAAAUUCACACAAGCUCCAAAGAUAUUUCCGAAAUGGCCCCUACAGAUUUGGAGAAAUUAAUGGAAGAUUGUGUUCUCCAUCUUGGGAAUUCAAUGAAGCAAAUUACUUCUGAGUUGUUGGGUUUUGAUUCCUUAGGACCUGAAGAAUUGGAUGCCUAUUUGGAAAAUGCAACGGAAGAGCUAAAACUGGUGGAAGCUGAAAAUGCGAAGAUCUCUAACGAACUUGAUGUUCUGACCAAAAUCUAUAUCAAAGAUUCCACUCAAUUGGAGAGUGAUCUUGACAGGUUGAAUCACUUAUUGGAGCUCAUUGAGUUGCAGGGUCUGCAAAAGCUACAAGGGAAUGAACAUAUUGGGUGCUCAAUAUCUGAAGCCAACAAAAACAUUAAGGCACCUGAAGACUAUAAUAUUGAGAUUUGGGAACUUGAUCAUCAGAUUGAGAAGAAAAAAAUUGCUUUAAGCACUUUGCAGGAUCUUGAAUCCAUUUUUAGAAGGGUUGAAGCAAAUCAACAGAUUGAAGACACAAUGACAGGUCUGAAGAUCAUUGACUUCGAAGGAAAUUAUAUCAGGUUGUCUCUGACGACAUUCAUUCCAAUCUCAGAGGACUUAGCUUGCCAACAGAAGAUGGAGAACAGUGAGCCAUCAAGACAGGAACAUGAGUUAUUAAUAGAAGUUUUUGAUGGGACUAUGGAGUUAAAGAAUGUAGAGAUAUUCCCAAAUGAUGUAUUCAUCGGUGAACUUAUUGAUGCUGCAAAGUCUUUCAGGCAGUUUUCUUCAUCAUUUUCAUUAUUUGAGAUAAGGUCUUCAUUGGAAUGGUUUGUAAGAGAAGUGCAAGACCGAAUCCGUUUAUGCUCUCUAAGGAGAUUAGUAGUGAAGUGCGCAAACAAAUCAAGACACACCUUUGAAUAUUCGGACAGAGAUGACACAGUAACAUCUCAUAUGGUUGGUGGAAUUGAUGCUUUCAUAAAGAUAUCUCAAGGUUGGCCAUUGUCAAAUUUGCCAUUAAAACUGAUAUCGCUCAAGUGCUCAGAUCAUUCGAAGGGAAUUUCAUUAAGCUUUUUCUGCAAGGUUGAGUUUUUAUUAUUAGGAAUUGGUGAACAACCUGGAUGUGAAUAUGCGGCUAAAUCUUUCAAGCUUUGUGGAUGCUAUUGAAGAAAUAUUACUCCAGCAAACACGUUCAAACCUCGAAUGCAAGCAUGUUUGUCAACAAUGAAUAUCUACCCUAAUGUUGGUACAAGCCGAUCGAGCUUUGGAACGUGAUGCUUUGUCAAUCCAGUCAAUUCAUCUUUUCAAGAUUUAUCUGUCAAGAAAAUUAACUUUUUUAAGGGGUCUGGACAUAGAAGCCAGUGGAAGCAUUGGCCUUUCAUAGCCAUCAGUUGGCAGGAAUCAAUAUGAACAACUUUGAAUAAAUAGAUAAAUGAGAGGGAGAGGGAGAGGGAGAGGGAGAGUGAGUAAGCAAGAAGUAUUAUUGAUGUCCUCUCCGUAUCUGUUGUCCUCAUAUUGAGUAUGUAAUGUUCUCUGCUAUUUGGUUUGAUUAUCACCCAUGCACCUGAAAAUGUAUAGAACUGCUUUGAACAUUAGAGGUGUGUUAUUCCUUUCA
RNA transcript from Macadamia integrifolia, 1772 nucleotides. RefSeq lists it as uncharacterized. The transcript has 14 exons. The record is from RefSeq and is a predicted model, not a curated record. Lineage: Eukaryota; Viridiplantae; Streptophyta; Magnoliopsida; Proteales; Proteaceae.